RNAcentral lists this ribosomal RNA (492 nucleotides) under uncultured bacterium. RNAcentral describes it as "partial 16S ribosomal RNA". It matches the Rfam family "Bacterial small subunit ribosomal RNA", at positions 29 to 507 of the family's 1533-position model. The record is from RNAcentral.
AGUGAACGCUGGCGGUAGGCCUAACACAUGCAAGUCGAACGGCAGCACAGUAAGAGCUUGCUCUUACGGGUGGCGAGUGGCGGACGGGUGAGGAAUACAUCGGAAUCUACUUUUUCGUGGGGGAUAACGUAGGGAAACUUACGCUAAUACCGCAUACGACCUACGGGUGAAAGCAGGGGAUCUUCGGACCUUGCGCGAUUGAAUGAGCCGAUGUCGGAUUAGCUAGUUGGCGGGGUAAAGGCCCACCAAGGCGACGAUCCGUAGCUGGUCUGAGAGGAUGAUCAGCCACACUGGAACUGAGACACGGUCCAGACUCCUACGGGAGGCAGCAGUGGGGAAUAUUGGACAAUGGGUGCAAGCCUGAUCCAGCCAUACCGCGUGGGUGAGGAAGGCCUUCGGGUUGUAAAGCCCUUUUGUUGGGAAAGAAAAGCAGCAGGUUAAUACCCCGCUGUUCUGACGGUACCCAAAGAAUAAGCACCGGCUAACUUCGUG